This 477-nucleotide ribosomal RNA is filed under the name uncultured bacterium. RNAcentral's name for it is "partial 16S ribosomal RNA". It matches the Rfam family "Bacterial small subunit ribosomal RNA", at positions 28 to 507 of the family's 1533-position model. The record is from RNAcentral.
GAUGAACGCUGGCGGCGUGCUUAACACAUGCAAGUCGAACGAGAAGUGGAGACGGAAACCUUCGGGCGGAAGACUUUAUUUCGAGUGGCGGACGGGUGAGUAACGCGUGGGUAACCUGCCUCAUACAGGGGGAUAACAGUUGGAAACGACUGUUAAUACCGCAUAAGACCACAGCACCGCAUGGUGCGGGGGUAAAAACUCCGGUGGUAUGAGAUGGACCCGCGUUCGAUUAGCCAGUUGGCGGGGUAACGGCCCACCAAAGCGACGAUCGAUAGCCGACCUGAAGGGUGGCCCGGCCAAAUUGGAACGGGACAACGCCCCAACCUCCACGGGAAGCAGGCGGUGGGAAUAAUUGACCAAGGGGGAAACCCUGAUGCAGCGACGCCGCGUGAGUGAAGAAGUAUUUCGGUAUGUAAAGCUCUAUCAGCAGGGAAGAAAAUGACGGUACCUGAGUAAGAAGCCCCGGCUAACUACGUG